GGCAGGGUAGCUCAGUUGGUAGAGCACUGGAAGCGCACAGUUGUCUCCGGUUCAAGUCCGGACCCUGCCC
This 70-nucleotide transfer RNA is filed under the name Aminipila butyrica. RNAcentral's name for it is "Clostridiaceae bacterium FH042 tRNA". It matches the Rfam family "tRNA". Rfam says of the family: Transfer RNA (tRNA) molecules are approximately 80 nucleotides in length. Their secondary structure includes four short double-helical elements and three loops (D, anti-codon, and T loops). The record is from Rfam by way of RNAcentral. Lineage: Bacteria; Bacillati; Bacillota; Clostridia; Peptostreptococcales; Anaerovoracaceae.